Molecule: long non-coding RNA, 1017 nt
Organism: Pan troglodytes (chimpanzee)
Lineage: Eukaryota; Metazoa; Chordata; Mammalia; Primates; Hominidae
Exons: 9
Source: RefSeq, a predicted model, not a curated record
ACCCAAGAAUAUCAGGGGAAGCCUGACUCCUUCCAGUUCAGCGAUGCCCGAAGAGGAGAGUCAACUGAUAUCUUCAGUUAUAACCUGAGGCCUGCUAUCCACUCCUUACUACUAUCAGGUACCAAUCUCAGGAAAGGCCAUUGACACUGGGUAGAAGAGUGAGUUCACUGAAACCAUGGAUGGUUGCCCUUAUUGUCAGAGCUGUUAUGUUGAUUCUGGUGAUACUGAUUGGUCUCCUUGUUUAUUUUUUGGCAUAUGGCUAGAAGUUUUACUAUUACCAGACCUCCUCCCAGAUCCCCAGUAUUGAAUAUAAUCCUGAUUUUUCAGUAGAACACUCAAAACUUAGCACCGACCUGAAACAAAAAGUCAGUAACGAGCAUCAAAAUCUGGCCAAAAAAGUUUAUUUAGAGCCUAAAAAGCUGAUCUUUCAAUCACAUCCAUGAGGAUGAUAACUGAGCUGGAAUGAUACUGAGUGAUGAAUAGAUAAGAUAUUUCAGAGAUCCAAUUUAAACCAUCAUUACAUCAAGUGUCAAGUUGUCAACUUUAGGCCAAGUAAUGACAAUUUGAAAGCAGAUGUAUUGCUUAAAUUUCAGUUUAUUCCUAACAAUGAGAACGCAAUAAAAACACAAGCUGAUAACAUUUUUCAUCAGAAGUUGAAAUCAAAUGAAAGCUUCUUGAAGACAGACACUUCAUUACCUUAUCUUAGAGGAUUCACGGUUCCCAAAAUAGCUGUGUCCUUUGUAAAGUAAUGAAGAUUUCCGAGUAAGGUUAAGGUCCCUUUCCCAAUAUGCUACGGGAAGUUGAGGUAGAGAUCAUAAGUAAUGAUAUAUGUAAUCAAGUUCAUGUGUAUGUAUCAUCAGGAAUGAUACGUGCUGGAUUCUUGUCAGGAAAACUAGAUGCCUGUAAGGGUGAUUCUGGAGGUCCUCUGGUUAUUGCACGUGAUAGAAAUGCCUGGUACCUUGUUGGAAUAGUAAGCUGGGGAAUAGACUGUGGAAAAUAAAACAAGCCAGGACUUUA